ACUAGAAUGAAUGGCUAAAUGAAGACCCAACUGUCUCUUGCAGCCCACCAAUGAAACUGAUCCCCUAGUCCAAAAGCUAGGAUUUUCCCACAAGACGAGAAGACCCUGUGGAGCUUAUAAACCAAAACCAUAAAGCUUGGCCUCUUGGUUUUUAGUUGGGGCGACUUCGGAGUAUAAAAACCCCUCCGACAUGGCACUAGCCUGACUCAGAUGGACACACAAAAACACAAAAAGACCCAGUAGUUAAAACUAACUGAUCAAUGAACCAAGUUACCCCAGGGAUAACAGCGCCAUCCUCUCUUAGAGUCCCUAUCGACGAGAGGGCUUACGACCUCGAUGUUGGAUCAGGACAACCUAAUAGUGCAACCGCUAUUAACG
Molecule: ribosomal RNA, 378 nt
Filed under: Acanthodactylus cantoris (Indian fringe-fingered lizard)
Lineage: Eukaryota; Metazoa; Chordata; Lepidosauria; Squamata; Lacertidae
Description: partial 16S ribosomal RNA
Rfam family: Archaeal large subunit ribosomal RNA
Source: RNAcentral